GAACGCUGCCUGACCCUCAAGGCUCCAUUCUGGGCCCUCCUCCUCCAGGAAGACCCCCGGGCUAUCCCAAGACAGGCCAUCAGUCAUGACUCCUUGGGUAUUGGGCCAGAGUCCAGCCUCUGCUGACAGCAGAUUGGGGCCAGCCCUUGCUCUCAGCCCAGCUACCAAGAAAGAAAAGCGGCCCCUGGUGGCCAGGAGCUGGCGGCCACAGCUGGACCCUGGUGUCAUUCACAACACCACUCUCUGACCACUCUGUAAAUGACCAUCAUUCCUGCCUUCUCGAUGAGAACUCCUAUGAUACCGACUCUUAGAAUGCUGAUUCUAAGCCAGCCUCCCGCUGUCAUCUAACCCAGAGCAAAGCCUGUUUCCUCAAACCCUUUCCCAAAUCCCCUAACACCAGCUUGAAUCUGUGAAGUCCUUUCCCACACACUCUUUCUGGGAUGCCCCGCAACUCCCAUGGUUGCAUCCCCCUUACUACAACGAGUCAAUAAACCCAGAAUAACUCCA
Molecule: long non-coding RNA, 507 nt
Filed under: Homo sapiens (human)
Lineage: Eukaryota; Metazoa; Chordata; Mammalia; Primates; Hominidae
Description: non-protein coding lnc-CYP11A1-1:2
Source: RNAcentral